Molecule: small nuclear RNA, 103 nt
Organism: Choloepus didactylus (southern two-toed sloth)
Lineage: Eukaryota; Metazoa; Chordata; Mammalia; Pilosa; Megalonychidae
Source: RefSeq, a predicted model, not a curated record
GCACUAAAUUGGAAUGCUACAUUACAUUGGAAAGAGACAGAAAAGAUUAUCAUGGCCCCGGUGCAAGGAUGACAUGCAAACUCGUGAACUGUUCCAUAUUUUU